GACUUCCUGCUGUGGUGGCCUGACUUCUCCCGUGGUAGACUGUCCCCUCGGGCUGUGAGCCAAGACAAAUCCUUUAGACAGGGCCAGAUCAAUUGUCCUGAUCACUGAUAACUGCUCUCAGGUCGUCUGCAUCUCCUGGGAGGAUCGCUGUUCCUACAGAACUCACCACGGAACUCGAACUUACCAGAUCCAAACCACCUGUCCGGUCAAUUCCCUGCUCAGCUCCCAGAUGCCCGCCCUCUUCUCAUUUCCUCUGGCAUGUCAGGCCUCCACCACCCGGUGCACGGCUACUUCAGCAACCUCCAGCGCUCUUCCUUUUAAUCCAGCCUGUGAUCAGGAAUUACGACAUGCCCAGCCUGCACGCUGCCUGAGACAUGACUAUGAGCUCGCCACCCUCCCUGAACCUGUGUCCAUCUGACCUGUUGGCCAUCUCUUCUGAUGACCAGUUCCACCCAAGAAUUCUGCUACAAACCUCUCAAGUUUGAGGGGUACAAGAAGCACACCCCCCACCAACACACGCACACUUUGGUUCAACUAGCUGUGAAUCCUGGAGUCCCCAUGUUUCUGACAAUGCUUUGAUUUUUUUUUCAUCAGCACAAAACUGAAGGGAGAGAUAUGCAGAAUAAAGCCCUACCUGGGAAGAUCUGAAGUGAAGAGCGUAUGUGUCCUCAGUGGCACGGUGUCCUCUGAGGACGUCCAUGUGUGGCUGUCCCUUAUGCUACCUAUUCCAGAAGCUCCAGGUUUUAGUGUUCCGAGUUUCUGCCCAGGCUCCCAGGGUCAUGAUUGACAGUCAUUUUCUUCUCUCUUUCUGCUCUCUGCCCCUUGGUCCUCCUGGUCUGGCCAGCCCCCUGCCUGAUAUUAUAGGUGUCCUAGCCCUGCCCUUCAUCUGUCAGAUGAAGGAUCACAUGUCCAUGUAAGCUCUCUGGUCACCACAGCAUGGAGUGUGAUCCCAAGGGCCUUAGAGAAACAUGACACCCCAUCAGUUGGGGGAAUUCUGCGGCUGAUCCCCCAAGGUCAUCACAUCCCUGGCUCACACUCCCUUACUUUAGAAUUAAAAUGUCAGUUAUUCAGUAGGAGCUCCAAGGUCUU
This 1089-nucleotide long non-coding RNA is filed under the name Mus musculus (house mouse). Its description in RNAcentral is "RIKEN cDNA 4930594O21 gene (4930594O21Rik)". Lineage: Eukaryota; Metazoa; Chordata; Mammalia; Rodentia; Muridae. The record is from RNAcentral.